Oncorhynchus gorbuscha (pink salmon) is the source of this 1938-nucleotide long non-coding RNA. RefSeq lists it as uncharacterized. The transcript has 3 exons. Lineage: Eukaryota; Metazoa; Chordata; Actinopteri; Salmoniformes; Salmonidae. The record is from RefSeq and is a predicted model, not a curated record.
UGUAUGUAGGGGGUGAAAAGCAGAAAGUCCAGGUAGCCAUUUAAUUAACUGUCUUAUGGCUUUGGGGUAGAAGCUGUUCAGGAGCCUUUCGGUCCCAGACUUAGCAUCCCCCGGUACCGCUUGCCGUGCGGUAAACCUGGUUCUCAAUGUUAGAAUGGAAAAUCAUGAAUCAAUGAUGUAUAUUUCUGUGCUUUUCUUUUAGAGCAGGUUGGUGUGCCGUGGAGACAACAACCAGAGUUAUGUCUGUGAAUCAGACCACUGCUGUGGAGAGUCUCAGUGCUGCAGCUACUACUAUGAACUCUGGUGGUUCUGGUUGGUGUGGACUCUCAUCAUCAUAUUAAUGUGCUGCUGUGUAUCUCAGCACCGGCGCUACAAGCAGAGUUUCCAGCAGCAGAGGAGACAGAAUGAGAUCAACCUCAUUGUAUACAGAGAGGCCCACAACAACACACAGCAUCUCCCCCUCUAUCUCAGAUUCCUGCCUGACUACAUGCUGCCAACCUAUGAGGAGGUAGUUGACAGCACUGCCACUCCUCCCCCUUCCUACAGUCCCCCUCCAGUUAGCCUCUCUGUCCACCCAGCACCCUGACUGCCCUCGUCCUUCCCCCAGACCACCACCACAUACCCAGACACAACCCCCACUGCGGCCCCCCGUGUCUACACCGGGGGAGCAUGGCAAUGGUUUCCCUGACAACAAUAACUCGGCAUUGGGCAGGUAACUGCGCUUUACAGGCGACUCGGCAAUCGAGAUGUGUGAUAACCAGGAACUCUGGGAGGGAGGAGGAAGACACAUGCUGGGAAGGGAGGAUGAAGAAAACAUCUGUGAUAGAUGCAGACCCCAGAUUCAGAUCCACACAGACACCAAUAUACACACAGACAUAGAGACUUGAAAAAGCGAGUUGAUCCCCCAAACCUGUGAGUGAGAGGUGUGUGUGUGUGCCUGUGAAUGUGUCCCUCCUUAGAAGAAAGUAGCACAAUGCUUGCAUCACAAUGUGCAUUCCUCUGUAAUGCAGCCGUGCCAUAUGUAGCCAUAUCUUAAGGUGGUGAUGCUCUGACUCUAAAAGCCUGGAGUCUCACUGCUGUGCCACACAAAGGCCAGUAGAUUAUAGAGUUCCUGUACAGGUCAAAAUAUGAAUUUAUGCCAUGUCGAACUGAAUAGAAACUAAAAGCGGGCUGGCACGGUUGAGAGCUUUGCUGGAGGUACAAAUUGGUUUCAUAGAACCGCUUUCAACACUGUAUACUUCCUCAUUGGUUAUGGGUCGAAUUCAGGCAUAACAGCGGCCUCUUGUGUUUUAUAUAUAUAUAUAUAUAUAAUCGUUGAUUUAUUCAGACAAGACAUAAAUGACUAAAUGAGAUACACAGUCUAACAUCAACAUAUGAUGUAGGAAUAUACACAACCGGAAUGAACCAAGCAAGAGAGAUGCGCCAAGAAGGAUUACAAGGUAUAUUCUUAUUUUUAAUUUUUAGAUUAGCAUGGAGCAUCAUCGUCUGACCUCAUGUUAGAGACACCACGUUUAUUGCACAAAAACUCACACACCCAAUGCAGUGCGGAGGUUAAUGUUUGAAACAGUGAAUAUGACCGGUUUAAUGUGUCUCGGUUAUUGUAAUGCGUCUUCAGAACUCCAUUUUACUAAGGAAUCACAAAGUCUUGUUACGUAGCCUUUCUGUAAUAUAUUAUAUGAUUGAAUAGCCUACGCUUUGAUUAAUACUGUGUAGCCUUAUUGGGAACUAUGUUUCACAUACCUAUAUAGAGUAGUAGAGCAGCUUCCAGAGGCAAUGAUUGUACUUCCGAUGUGGUUUUAUUUAUUAUUAUUAUUAUAUAUAUUUAUAUAUAACAAUAAUUCUCUAAAGAAAAGUAAAAUAACAUUGAAGUAAUAUAUAUAUAAAAACAUUCACUACACAUUAAUUGAGUUUCAAAAGUUAAAAUAAAUCAAAUAAGGU